CACAGAUAUGGAGCCCAUGGAUGUGAAGGACCGAGUGUACUUUGUACCAGUGGUUGUCAAAGUGUAGGGCCCUGGACCAGCCGCAGUAGCAUCACCUGGGAACUUGUAAGAAAUGCACAUUUCAGCCUCUGUUUCAGAUGGACCUAUCAGAAUCUCUGGAGGUUUCCCCAGGAGCACUUCCAUAGGACGUGGCCCACAAGCAAAUGCUAGACUUGGGCUUUGCUUCUCAGGAAUCCAAUUUAAGGGAGGCUGUGAGGAUCUCGAGGACACAGCCAUGGAGAACAUGCUGGUUCCUUGAGCUGCUAAGCACUGAAGUCCCGCCAAUGGUGAGGAGGGUUCAGGGAGAACAUUGCAACUUCACAGUCAAGAUGAUCCUUGGAAACCUUUUAGAAGGGCACCAUCUUGGAGACCCACAAUCAAUAAGACCAGCACGGCUGAGAGUUUUCUCCAGCAUUUGAAUAAAUGGUUGUUUCUUUGGUUGAACCAUAAUGCGGUAAUUGGCUUAAACCGGGAGUCAUGCAUAGUAUCUGGAAACUUCCUCACUUGAAACACCAGCAUCUUGCUCAGCCUGCAUAAUCCUCUCAUCAUGAGAGGCACAUGGGAAAUGAGCCAGCCUGUCUGGAGAAGAAGCAAAUGCAUGUCUUCCAUCUCCCGCUCAGUACUGGGCAUAUUAUCCUCCUGGAGAAGCAGAAAUGCCAGCACCACUUAAAUGGUGUUUCUCUCUUUCUGCCCUGUACCUGCUGGAGGCACAUGCCCAUAUCAUGUAGGGUGUCAGGGCAGAGUGCUCUUAGGAAGAGCUGAGCCGUGAGGACCACCUCCCACACAGAAGAGGGAGGCCCUGGCAGAGUUCUCUGCCAUGUGCUUCUAGGCUUCCUCAACUCGGAAAUUUUAUUAUAGAGUUUUAGAAUGUGAUGAGCUCUUGGAAAUCAUGAAGAUGAAGAAUCAAGGUGGAGGUUAAAUGGCUUGUCCCAGGCCCCAGAGUGGCCCUUUGCUUUUUGGAAUCCAACAGCAAGGACUUGUGGGAAUAUCAUGGGCUUUGACUAGGAGAUGCAGGGCUCAAACGUCAUCUUUGUCACUUAGUGAUUGUAUAAUUCUCUAAAAGUCUCCCUAUUUGUAGAAAGGAGGUAAGGGAACUUUCUUUCCUGGAUUGCAAGAUGAUUAAAAGAGAUGU
Molecule: non-coding RNA, 1171 nt
Organism: Saimiri boliviensis boliviensis (Bolivian squirrel monkey)
Lineage: Eukaryota; Metazoa; Chordata; Mammalia; Primates; Cebidae
Source: RefSeq, a predicted model, not a curated record